UUCAAUUUUGAGCAAUUUUUUGAAAAAAUUUAUUUGUUUUUCUAUAUCAGGACAAUUUAUUUAAAAUACGGCCUCCCCCCACCCCCUGUGAAUUAUGCAGCUAGCCAAUUUGAGGGAUUAGAAUUUAUAGCAGGGAGCAGCAGCAUUCAGUUAAUUUAAGUCGUAAUUCAGAUAUUACCUCCUUUCUUUCAACGGCUGUAUCCGAGGCAUACAGAAGUUCCCGGGUCAUGGAUUGAAUCUGAGCUGCAGCUGCGACCUACACUGAAGCUGUGGCAAUCCUUUAACCCACUGUGCCAGGCUGGGAAUAGAACCCACACUUACACAGUGACCUGAGCUGCUGCGAUUGGCUUCUUAACCCACUGCACCAGAGAAUUAGGAAAGUACUAGCAACCAUCACUGUGCAUACCUAUGACUUGUCCCCUUGGUGCACAUUUAUGAUGUCCUUCUUUGAGGAAUGUGGUUUCAGAGGUGGUAGAAAAUAGUCAUAUGAAUGACAAAAAAGUCACUUGAAUAUAAUUAUGAAAUGACUGCAUGACCAAGAAGGACUAACCCAGAGGAGAAGAAGGAAGAGAAACGUACUCCUGUCCUUCACAAACAGAGAGGAAGCGCCUUGGCUUAGUUAAACCCAAGUUGUCCCUUUGGGGUGCUGCCCAGUCAGUGUUUCAUUUGGAGGGGAUCUUUCCUUCUCCCCACUUGCUAUUCUUUCUUAGCUGCUGUGGAUUCUUGUCUUUCCCAUUUCCAGCACUACACUUCUGCCUGGUGGAUGUAUUAUUUGUAUGCCAUGCUGUCAUUUUUAGCUCAGCAUAUAUAAAAGCCAGCUUUUACCCUUGGUCACCUUGACCUGCAGAGCAGUGUCCCCAUUCUGAUUCCUUUUUCUGUUAAUUGUAUUACCCAGGAUCAAGACCUUGGCUUUUAUUUACUUGUACAGAUGUAUAUAAAGACAUCCAGAAAAACCCACCAUCCCAGAAACCUGGGCAUUGCCCAUGUGCCCCAGCAGGCCUGCUGUCCAAGGUUCAGAGGAAGCCAGGGGGGUCAGGGUCUAGAAGGAAAUGAGUGAAAUGAGCGUGGAGUGACCAGACCCAAGCUGUGGUACUCACAGGUGAAUUUAAUGUUGAACACCAAGUAGGAAGAUUUAUAUGCAAGUGAGCCAUGGCGGGGUGGGGAGUUGGAUGGGGCUUCAACACUCAUAGCUGGGUUCUAAAUAAGAUCAUCUUCACCAAGAGGAUCUGAAAGACUUGAAUCUUACUAGUGACUCAAAGAAUUCCUUUCAGCUAUUAAGCAAGGAACCUGAGACCUAGAGACAUAAUUUCCUUGCCCAAAGUCCCUGGACUUCUUAGACCUUCCUAGUGUUCCUUUCUCAUCACUUUGCUGGCUCCAUAUUUUGUUUAUCAAAUUUAUCUAUAUUCGUUGUACUGUGGUUUAUGUUAUUCUAGCAUCAUUAGCUUUAAGUGGUUUUAGAAAGGCUAUUUGCUCUUGAAGCCAAAGAAUAUCAUAAUUUAGCUCAACUGUAACAAACGAAAAUGCCAUCGCUAUAAAUAAUCUGUAAUGAUGUGCCUCCACCUGCCAACGUAUGGACAUUAAGCAUUUCAAAUAAGACUUCUUCUGUGGGCAUGACCAGGAUUUUAACUGAUUCAGUGGUAUCUGAGUUGCCGGCACUGUGUUGGAAUCAGCGUGAAUGAUAUUGGCUUCUAAGAUCUAUUGGAAAUACCUGUCUUCAUUUCAGAAAUGGGUGUAUGCUUACUGCAGUUUUUAAGUAAAAUAUUAAUUUUUAAUCCAUUAUCUCAAAGCCCUGAUUGUUUAUUCACAAGAUACCCUGUGGGAAAAAAAUUUGGUGUUGGAAAAGUAUUCAUACAAUUUUAACUUUCGUGUGGCAUUUUUAUGUUUUAUCCAGGUGAGGGGGAGCAUGGUGAAGCAGUUGUAGACUUCCUCACUGGGCUGCCCAUAAGAGAAUAAAUGAAAGAUUGAGGUUAUAUUGGGCUACUGCUUCGAACUAAUUUAAAAGAAUGGUUUAUUUUUUUGUUGUUGUUCAAAUAUAUCCAGACCUUUUAGCAUUUUAAGUACAGAAUUUAACCAAAAGAACUGUAGUAAAAUUACUUAGAAUUGUUUUUGCUCUUCAAAAGCCACAGUUACAGGAUGUAAGUAAUCUUUAGUUUAAAAUUGCCUCAUCAGGUGACACUUAAGAGCAGCCUGCGUCAACAGGAUUUCCUAAGGUGUUGGUGUGAAGAUGAACCACAGGCCCCCAUCAGUUUUCUUUUUACCAGAGGAUUGUUUUUCAGUCUUAAAAUGAAGAUUCCUACUCAUCAUCCCCCAUAGAGAUGUGUGGAGAAAUUUUCUGAAGGAGUACUUUGUGAUCUAUUUCCUCACUGUCUCAUACGGAGCUCCUGCAACAGGCGAGAUGUUUUGCUCACUAGGUAAGAAAUCAAAGGAGACAGUUCCUUGCUAAGGAGCUUUUAUUUAAGGAUCCACCUGUAAAAAACCCCUGGGUCUUAUCUGUCUUGAGUUUGUAAUCAAAGCAGAACAUCUUAACCAUAAUUAUCUUUGAAACUGUACGAACACCAUCAUUUCACUGCUGCCUGUUUUCCUCAUGGAUCCGUCUUCAGUUCUGUGUGUCUCAGAUUCCACCCAAGACCCAGGGUGGCAUCUGCUCAGGGCCUGAGAGUUGAAGGAUUGUGGUCAGCAUGUUCUGUAGAGGUAACCAAGUCCAAUCCCUUUAACUGAGCUUUUACUUUUCAAUGCUGUAGAAACCUUGCCUUUGCAAGUAGCAUAACCUAGAAUGACUCUGGAGAGGGUCAGGAGUCUUGGGGUUUGACUCUUGACUGGCUACCAAAUUUCUUUGUGACUUGAGGCAAGUCAUUUUCCUUUGGGGCGGGCCAGGUGGGGGGUGCGUUUCCUUGUCUUUAAAGAAGUUGGACCAAGUGAUUUUUUUUUUUUUUUAAAGUGCUUCCUACUCAGGUAGCUUAUGAUUCUAGAUCUGCAAUUCACAUCCCAUCUUAAUAACAUAGUAUCUUAACUGCACUUUGACCAUUUGCUGUUUUCUUGGGGUUGUCCUUAGAAGGAACAUACCCCAUCAUGUUUAGAAAUCCCCCCUUUCCAGGAUCUCUUAGUCCCCUGGAUGGAGUGAGCAGAGUUGCUUUCUCAGGCUGGGAAAGAUGUGGACUUUACUAAGUUCCUGGUCCACCCGCUCCUCUGCUCUCCAAAUGAAUUGCUCAUCAGAUCAGGAACUGGAGUAUGUGGGGAACCCCGUAAAGGCAGUAGCAUGACAUUUGGAGCAGAAUGAGCCAUCUGCAGCCGACUGUGGCAAGGUCUGGUGAAACUCUAGUGGGGUUCCAAGAAGGAAGUUCUCCUCCCCCGCAAGAACCGCGUGGCUUUUAACAUAAAGUCUAGCACCUUUAUUUUACCUAUUUAAAGCAAAAUAAGUCUUGAAAUUAGUAAACAUCAACACCAUCUCAACAGAACUCUAAGGAAAACUAGGUAGCCACAAAAUGAAUCUUAUAGUUCGCUCUGGAGUAAUUUCCCCUAGAAGAUUUGUGAAAACCGCAUUCAAGUUUAUGAAUCUUGAAUAUAUAGGAAUGUGUUAAGUUUGUCAGUGUGCCCUGAAUCUAGAGGUUAGAACAAGGCGAAUUCUGUUUACAGAUUAUUCUGUUGAAAUUUGAAUAUUUUCUGUGGAAUUUAAUAAUUAUUUCUGGUAGGAAAGCGGACAUUGAUAUUUGAUGCCAUUAUUCGAAUCAGUUGAGAAGCGAGCAUACACUGUAUAUUUAUCUCCAUGGACCUAGUACAAGAUCUAGUGUGGCACCGAUGGAUUUUCAUAAAGGAACGCAUGCUGGUAUCUAGCCCCCAGAUCAAGUGAGAGAGUUAUCAGUGUUCCAGAAGUCUCUUUGUGCCCCUUUCAGCUAAUCACUCACCCCACACCCAAGCUAACUACUACCCAGAUGUCUAGCACUGUAAUUUAGCUUUGCCUUUGUUGGAACUUUACAUACAAUGUACUCUCUUUGUGUUUGGCUUCUCUCACUCCAUGUUGCUCUCAAGAUGCACUGCAUCGUUGCUCAUAGCAACAGCACCUUCUGUAGCUAAAGAGCAGGGGCCAGCGAGCCAUGUGUGUGGCCCAGGGACCAAAUCUGGCUUUUGUUCACAGCACAUGGAUUAAGAAUGGUUUUUCCAUUUUUAAAGGAUUGUCAAGAAAAGAAGCAAACAGAGACUGGAUGGGGCCUGCAAAGCCUAAAAUAUCUACUCUCUAUCUCUUUGCAGAAAAAGCUUGGUGACCCCUGCUCUCUAGUAUUCCAUUGUAGAAAUGUGCCACAAUUCAUGUUUCAGUCCUAAUAUUGGUAGACAUGGCAGUUAUUUCCUGGCAUGGGCUAUUUUGAAUAGUGCUGUGAGGACCAUUGUCACAAGGUCCGUUGGUGCACAUAAGUACAGAUUGCUGUUACAUAAAUACCCUGAGGUGGAAAUGCUGCUCAUAGGGCUUGCAGGUGGUGGUCAGCUUUAGCAGAUACCACCAAACAUCUUGUGAAAGUGGUUGUACCAUUGGACUUUCCCAGCUACCAUGUUGGUAGUUCCAGUAACUCCUUUGCAACACUUGGUAUUGUCUGUCUUUUUAAUUUUAGCCAUUCUUGUGGGUUUUAGUGAUGAUACAUUAUGCUUUUUAAUUUACAUUUUUUUGGGAAUAACUAAGGUCUAGCAUCUUUUUGUAGGCUUCCAGGCCAUUUGAUACUCCCUAAUGUUAAAUGCCUACUCUAUUAUUAUUAUUGUUUUGUUACUAUUCUAUUGGGUUGUUUGCUUUUUUCUUUAUUGAUUGAUGAGAGUUCUUUAUGUAGUCUAGAUAUUAUAGAAUAUAUAAAUAUUAUGUAAUCUAAUAUUGUAUAUUCUAUAAUAUAUAGAUAUUAUAUAUUCUAGAUGUAAGUACUUUGUGUAUUUAUGGAUUAUAAAUAUCUUCUCCCAUUCUGUGACUUGCCUUUUUACUCCCUUAAUGAUGUCUUCUGAAGAACAGAAGUUCUUAAUUUUAUUUUAGUCUUGCUCAUCAGUAUUUUUAUCACCAGUGCUUUUUGUGGCCUAUUUAAGAAAAUCUUCAAAAAAAAAAAAAAAAAAA
Sus scrofa (pig) is the source of this 5083-nucleotide non-coding RNA. The record is from RefSeq and is a predicted model, not a curated record. Lineage: Eukaryota; Metazoa; Chordata; Mammalia; Artiodactyla; Suidae.